GCGCUCAGGCAGCACAUACGCUAAAAUUGGAAGGACACAGAGAAAUGAGCGGGGCCUCUGCACAAAGGAUGACGCGCUAAUUCAGGAAGCAUCUCAUGUUUAA
Non-coding RNA from Otolemur garnettii (small-eared galago), 103 nucleotides. The record is from Rfam. Lineage: Eukaryota; Metazoa; Chordata; Mammalia; Primates; Galagidae.